CUGCGAGUGAAGCGGGAAAAGCUCAAAUUUAAAAUCUGUCAGUCUUUGGCUGUCCGAGUUGUAAUCUAGAGAAGUGUUAUCCGCGCUGGACCGUGUACAAGUCUCCUGGAAUGGAGCGUCAUAGAGGGUGAGAAUCCCGUCUUUGACACGGACUGCCAGGGCUNCUGUGAUACGCUCUCAAAGAGUCGAGUUGUUUGGGAAUGCAGCUCAAAAUGGGUGGUAAAUUCCAUCUAAAGCUAAAUAUUGGCGAGAGACCGAUAGCGAACAAGUACCGUGAGGGAAAGAUGAAAAGAACUUUGGAAAGAGAGUUAAACAGUACGUGAAAUUGCUGAAAGGGAAACGCUUGAAGUCAGUCGCGUUGUCCAGGGAUCAACCUUGCUUUUGCUUGGUGUACUUUCUGGUUGACGGGUCAGCAUCAAUCUUGACUGUUGGAAAAAGGUCAUGGGAAUGUGGCAUCUUCGGAUGUGUUAUAGCCCUUGGUUGCAUACAAUGGUUGGGAUUGAGGAACUCAGCACGCCGCAAGGCCGGGUAUCCAAUUACCACGUACGUGCUUAGGAUGCUGGCAUAAUGGCUUUAAUCGACCCGUCUUGAAACACGGACCAAGGAGUCUAACAUACCUGCGAGUGUUUGGGUGGAAAACUCGAGCGCGUAAUGAAAGUGAAAGUUGAGAUCCCUGUCGUGGGGAGCAUCGACGCCCGGACCAGACCUUUUGUGACGGUUCCGCGGUAGAGCAUGUAUGUUGGGACCCGAAAGAUGGUGAACUAUGCCUGAAUAGGGUGAAGCCAGAGGAAACUCUGGUGGAGGCUCGUAGCGAUUCUGACGUGCAAAUCGAUCGUCAAAUUUGG
RNAcentral lists this ribosomal RNA (845 nucleotides) under Phlegmacium argutum. RNAcentral describes it as "eukaryotic LSU rRNA". It matches the Rfam family "Eukaryotic large subunit ribosomal RNA", at positions 87 to 914 of the family's 3401-position model. The record is from RNAcentral. Lineage: Eukaryota; Fungi; Basidiomycota; Agaricomycetes; Agaricales; Cortinariaceae.